Molecule: small nuclear RNA, 164 nt
Filed under: Xenopus laevis (African clawed frog)
Lineage: Eukaryota; Metazoa; Chordata; Amphibia; Anura; Pipidae
Also listed under: 1 other name
Description: U1 spliceosomal RNA
Rfam family: U1 spliceosomal RNA
About the family: U1 is a small nuclear RNA (snRNA) component of the spliceosome (involved in pre-mRNA splicing).
Source: Rfam by way of RNAcentral
AUACUUACCUGGCAGGGGAGAUACCAUGAUCAUGAAGGUGGUUCUCCCAGGGCGAGGCUCAUCCAUUGCACUCCGGGUGUGUUGACCCCUGCGAUUUCCCCAAAUGCGGGAAACUCGACUGCAUAAUUUCUGGUAGUGGGGGACUGCGUUCGCGCUUUCCCCUG